RNAcentral lists this ribosomal RNA (417 nucleotides) under uncultured eukaryote. RNAcentral's name for it is "SSU rRNA". It matches the Rfam family "Eukaryotic small subunit ribosomal RNA", at positions 592 to 1013 of the family's 1831-position model. The record is from RNAcentral.
CAAUAGCGUAUAUUAAAGUUGUUGCGGUUAAAAAAGCUCGUAGUUGGAUUUCUGCCGAGGACGACCGGUCUGCCGAUGGGUAUGCACUGUUUGGCGCGGCCUUCUUUCCGGAGACCGCGGCUACUCUUAACUGAGCGGGCGUGGGAGACGGAUCGUUUACUUUGAAAAAUCAGAGUGUUUCAAGCAGGCAGCUCGCUCUUGCAUGGAUUAGCAUGGGAUAAUGAAAUAGGACUUUGGUGCUAUUUUGUUGGUUUCGAACACCGAAGUAAUGAUGAGCAGGGACAGUCAGGGGCACUCGUAUUCCGCCGAGAGAGGUGAAAUUCUCAGACCAGCGGAAGACGAACUACUGCGAAAGCAUUUGCCAGGGAUGUUUUCACUGAUCAAGAACGAAAGUUAGGGGAUCGAAGAUGAUUAGAU